This 740-nucleotide ribosomal RNA is filed under the name uncultured Porphyromonas sp. Its description in RNAcentral is "bacterial SSU rRNA". It matches the Rfam family "Bacterial small subunit ribosomal RNA", at positions 110 to 848 of the family's 1533-position model. The record is from RNAcentral. Lineage: Bacteria; Pseudomonadati; Bacteroidota; Bacteroidia; Bacteroidales; Porphyromonadaceae.
GUAACGCGUAUGCACACUUGCCUUACAGAGGGGGAUAACCCGCUUGAAAGACGGACUAACACCGCAUAUGCUCAGGGGUCUGCAUGGGCCUUUGAGGAAAUAUUUAUAGCUGUAAGAUAGGCAUGCGUCCCAUUAGCUUGUUGGUGAGGUAACGGCUCACCAAGGCAACGAUGGGUAGGGGAACUGAGAGGUUUAUCCCCCACACUGGUACUGAGACACGGUCCAGACUCCUACGGGAGGCAGCAGUGAGGAAUAUUGGUCAAUGGGCGAGAGCCUGAACCAGCCAAGUCGCGUGAAGGAUGAAGGCCCUAUGGGUCGUAAACUUCUUUUAUACGGGAAUAACGAGCCUUACGGGUAGGGCGCUGAAUGUACCGUAGGAAUAAGCAUCGGCUAACUCCGUGCCAGCAGCCGCGGUAAUACGGAGGAUGCGAGCGUUAUCCGGAUUUAUUGGGUUUAAAGGGUGCGUAGGUUGCUUGGUAAGUCAGCGGUGAAAACUGAACGCUCAACGUUCAGCGUGCCGUUGAAACUGUCAGGCUUGAGUGCAGUGGCGGCAGGCGGAAUUCGUGGUGUAGCGGUGAAAUGCAUAGAUAUCACGAGGAACUCCGAUUGCGAAGGCAGCUUGCCAUACUGUAACUGACACUGAAGCACGAAGGCGUGGGUAUCAAACAGGAUUAGAUACCCUGGUAGUCCACGCAGUAAACGAUGAUUACUAGGAGUUUGCGAUAUACCGAUAAGCUUCC